GAGAGGAUGAGACAAAUGCCCUACCAUAUGCACAUAAAUCUUGAGCUUCUAGAAGCAGUCCAUUUAAUUUGUGCUAUGCUCCUUGAGGUUCCCAACAUGGCUCUAAACUCAAAUGAUGUUAGACAGAAAGUGAUGAAUAAGAAUUUCCGUAGACUCCUUGAUAUUAGUGAACGACAGACUUUUGGAGGACCUCCUGAAAAUGUUAGAGACCAUAUAAUGGCUGCGGCAAAAGCUCUUAGAAAGGGAGAUUUUGAGAAGGCCUUUGAUUUCAUCAGCUCCCUUGAUACAUGGAAGCUUUUGAAGAACAAAGAAAGUGUUCUGGCAAUGUUGAAAUCCAAGAUCAAAGAAGAAGCUUUAAGGACAUAUUUAAUUUCCAAUGCGUGUAGCUACGUGUCGUUGAGUUUGGAUCAUCUCAUUCUUAUGUUUGGCCUUUCUAACACACAAGUUCACAGCAUUGUGAGUAAGAUGAUGAUCACAGAGGAAUUGCAAGCAAGCUGGGACCAACCUGCAAAGUGUAUAAUAUUCCAUAGUAUGGAGCAAACAAGAGUGCAGACCCUCGCUUUCCAGCUUUCAGACAAACUCGGCGUUCUUGCUGAUAGCAAUGAAAGAGCAUAUGAGGUCCGAACAGGUGGUAGUUUGGAUGGGCUUCCUUCAAGACGGCGGACAGAUGGUCAGGAUUAUUCUGGAAAAUGGCAAGAUAAUAUCUUCACAUCACAAGGAAGGCAAGGUGGCGGUGGAGGACGUACAGGUUAUACUGGAAGAUUUGGGGGCUCUACACAAUCUUCGGUGGGAGUAUUCUCAAGGGACAAGGGAGUUGGAGGAGGGUAUGGAAUUCGGGGCACCGGUGGUGGUGCUCGGAAUCAAGAUGGAAGACAUUCAUAUCAAACAGGAUUGUCUAUGAAAGGAAGGCAGGCAGAUGCUUCAAGUCGUAUGGUUAGUCUUAGCAGGGGUGACAGAUUUUAAUGAAUGACUGUCUGACUUGGUAUUUUUUGCUUAUUGGCAAUUUUCUUAUAGCAUCGAUGAGGAUUAAAUCAUGAUCUUGAUAUAUUUUGUUUCUUCAAAUUAAACCAGUUUUAAGUUAUUGAUAAGUCAUGAUGAUGUUCUUGAUAUUAGAUUUAAUAAUUAUAAACUUUUAAUACUAUUCUGUUUUAUGUUGAAGUUCAAUUAUUCAUGCUUGUGUGAUUGUGUUUACAUUUUGCAUUAGCUUUUAAAUCUCAGUUUAGUUAUUUUUUUAGCGAGCUCUAUUGAAGUUCUUUUAUAUUGCAGUAACAUAUGGUAGCAGCUCUUCGUCGCCAUAUCAAUCCUGCAAUCAUUUAUCUGAUCAUACCUUGUAUGAUUUACUUACUCUAACAUUUAUUAGCAACAUAUUUAACGGUUAAUCCGUCAAAGCAGAAUUUGAAUUUUUAAAGUAAAAUAGAUUAGAUGAUUAUUUAAUUAUUUUCCUUCGAAAAAGACGUUAAAAAAUGUCAAAAAGAAAGAAGAAGAAAAUAUGGUGCUUACGGCUUACCCAGACAUCCAGGUUUUGACGUUUUAGAUAUAGAGAUAACUUCCAAAGCAAGAACAUGGGAGAUGCUGGCGCAGAUUUGAGAAAAUGGCGGAUUGUGAUCAAGAAAUUCCCACUCCACCCCCUACUCUGGCCAUGCUUUUUUGGUACAGUCAGCUCGAACACUCCUCCAGCAGUAGUUCUAGUAAAAAAAGAGCAAGCGAUUGGUAUGGAUUAUGGAUUCGUCAUCGUUUUUCUUCUUCUUUCGGUAUCAUUUGUUUGACGAUGAUGUGUUUGUGUUAAUGCCCAUGUCAGGAUUUUCUCCGAGGAGACCCCAAGUGAUAUCACUAUUGAUGUCGGAGGGGACGUCUUCAAUUUACAUAAGGUACGACGGGUUUAACUUGUUGGUACCAAAGUUGUGUAUUUGUAAUCCCGAUGGCCAUAUUGCAGUUCCCUCUGGUAUCAAAGUCUGGUUACCUGAAGAAAUUGCUCUCCAAGGAUAAAAAUGUCACCAACCUGUCCAUCGAGGUUGCCGAUGUUUCAAAAGCCUUCCAACUGGUAGUCAAUUUCUGCUACGGAAAAGAUUUCCAGAUAACCAUCGAAAACAUUGCGGCGCUCCGUUGCUUGUCGGAACAGCUUGAGAUGACAAACAAGUAUUCACCCAACAAUCUUGUCAGUGUAACAGAGGAUUACAUCCAACGUGUUGCAUUAACCAGUUUUCCUAACGCGAUCACUGUGUUGCGUUGCUCUGAAAAACUUGGUAAUGCUCCCAUCGUUGAGAGAGUCAGAUUGGUGAGUAGAUGUAUCAAUGCGAUAGCUUACAUAGCAUGCGACCAAGAUGAGUUCUACUCCUCACUGACAAAUGAAAAUCACCAAGGGUUUAUGGAUUGCUGGGCACAAGAUUUGACAGCCCUUGGGAUCGAUACAUUGGGAAAAGUUUUGUUUGCAAUGGCAAAAGCUGGAGUUAAACAGGAUGCUCUGGGGACAAUUCUUCUUCUCUAUGCUCAGAAAUCACUAAAAGGAAUUGUGAGUCAUCAAUGAAUUGAUAAUUCUUUUUAGUGAUUUCAUUUGAUUUUAAAUUUUUGAUGCAGGACAUAUUUGGGAGAGGAAGAAAGAAGAUGGAGUCAAGAAAGCAGUAUGAGAAAAAAGAGUGAUACUAGAAACCAUUGUUGGUCUUUUACCAAAGGAAGCAAGAGCCACUCUGCCAGUUACUUCUCUUAGCAUGUUGUUAAGAGCAGCGAUUUAUCUCGAAACAACAAUAGCUUGCAGGCUUGAUCUUGAAAAGAUGAUAAGUUUCCGGUUAGAUCAAGCCACAUUGGAUGAUCUUCUGAUUCCAUCUUUCUCCAUUGCCGAUGACACUUUGUUAGAUGUGGACACUGUUCAGAGGAUCUUGGUGAGCUUUUUAGAAUCCCAGAUUGAUGAUGAUAGUGUUGAUGACAUGGAGGAGGAGGAAUGUAAAAAGAAGAACAAAAAGGAGAGUAAGGUUGGAAAGCUCAUGGAAUUCUACCUUGCAGAGAUUUCUACUGACCUAAACUUAUCAGUUUCCAAAUUUGUUGGAUUUGCUGAGUUGAUCCCAGAAGAAGCAAGAACCACCGAAGAUGGCAUGUACAGAGCAAUCGAUAUCUAUCUCAAGGUAGUUCAAGAAGAGAUUGUGAAAUGUUAAUUAACAUCUAUCAUCAUAUAUUUUUUCUAAAAUGAUGUGCAGGCACAUCCGUCGCUAAACGACGUUGAGAAGAAGAAAAUCUCUAGUGCCAUGGAUUGCCAAAGGCUCUCUCUCAAGGCUUGCACUCAAGCAGCCCAUAACCAGAGGCUCCCUGUGCAGACCAUGGUUCAAGUUCUCUAUUACGAGCAGCAUCUUCUCCUUCUCCUGGAAGAAGAACUACAACAGGAACAGGAACAUGAACAAAUUCGUAACUGGCAGAUGAAGGUGCACCUUUAAGUGAACGGCGGGAUAAACUAAGAAUGGCGGGAUAAACUACGGUCUCUCCUUCUAAACCUCAUUUCAGUAAGUUUUGUGUAACACUGCACAAAACAUGUUUCAUUUGAAAUUUAGAGAGAGAAUGAGAAAUGAAAAUUGUGUUUGCAACCAGAAGGAAUUCACUGUGUUUGCAAGCGUUUCCCUUGCAGGUAUUUUUCUAUGAAACAGUGCUUGCAGACAUGCCAUUUUUAUAAAAAUUAAGACUUUACAAUGUGUGGCUAUAAUUAUUCUUGUUAAUUUGAUCUAUUAAUGUAGAUUAGCUAUGAAUUUGAUUUUUUACGUGAAGCUGAUGCAAUGAAGAGAAUUCGUAAAUUUGUGUAUGCUGCCAAUAAGAAACCUCCGGUUUUGAUACCUCGUGAAAUUAGCGGAUUGACAACUAGGUAUGACAAUCAGGUAUUUUUAAUUCUUUUGAAAAACUCCAGUUUUGAAAACGAAUUUAUUGGUGAUAGGGUAAUCUGAGUUUGUAAGCCAUAUGUUUGUAAAAUCAUUUGUGUUUUCAUAUUAGAUAUGAUUCAUGAGAUAGGUUUUGUAAAAUGAUAUGAAUCUUAUUAUCACUGUAUUUCACUCUUUGUGGAUUGACAAAUAGCUCAAUUAUAGGGGAUAUUGUAAUAUGGGGUAUGCUCAAUUAUUGACAGAUGUUCCAAUAAAAUAUACAUGUUCUUUUUAUAUAGAGAGACAUUAAUAGGUGUAGCCGCCGUGUAGGUAUAAUUUUAAAACUCAAUACUGCCAUAUAAAGUCAAUGGUUAUAGUUUUGCUGCAGUUCACUUAUUCUACAGUGUUUCAUAAUUUCACGUAUUCUUUAUUUUAAGAUACCUAAUCGUGGUACUUUCCAAGGUUUUAUCGACAGUCAUGCGGAGCUGACCGCAUGAGUCAGCUACACAUUUUGGGAUAUUUUGCAAAUAUCGUCCUACAUUUUCUUGUAUUUACACAAUAUAAAUAAAAUAUUAAGAUUUGAGAAAUGGAGAAAUAGAGAAUUGGAAUACUCGCUGGAGGUCUAACAGAUGUUGGAAAGGGUGGCUGAAGACUGUUCAGAGUGGAUAAGAAAACAGUGUAGAAAUCAAGCUCGUUGCUUUUUUUUAUAUUUAUUUAACCAUUUAAUGGUUAAAUGAUUAAGUGGAUCUGACCCAGCACAUAAAGGUGCUGGGCAGUAUACUCGCCUGGCCAAGCGCAUGAAAAACCUUGGUAUUUUCAACAUUGUUGCCUAUCAAUUUAGGAAUGCAAACGAGCCGAGCUAUACACUUAGAUUUGGGCUCAGCUUGCUAAGGUUUUAGUACAGCUCUGGCUUGAGCUCUCUAAGCUUGAUCGAACUAGACUUCAGCCCGGCUCGAAACAUGGGAUCGCAAGUCCAAUAUCUCAAAAAUUAAUUUUAAAUAUUAAAUUUACAGUACCUGUAACUUGAACACAUGACAUUUUCAAAAACUUUUAAAUAAAUUAACCACUCAACCAGAAUUUCUCUAUUUAUAUUUAAUGAAAAUACAUUGUAUAUUAUUAUUAUUGAGCAUAAUGAGCCGAGAUCAACCUUAAUAAUCCUUGCUCGGCUCGUUAAGCUUGACGAGCUUAGACCCUAGACUUGAUCUCAGCUCUUUAAACUCACGAAUCGAGCUUAGAACUUGCAACCCUACAUCCCUACCUAUCAUAUUAAUUAAUUUAUUUGAUUUUGAUGAUGUUCAUUUCUAAAUUUUUUUUUGCUAUUAUCAUACCUCAUAGUAUCAAUAUACAUUCUACGUUUAAUGUCAGGAGGGUCCUAGUAAUGGAUUUCAUUGAGGGAAUUCCGAUACUUAAUCUUGAAAUUGAAAUGGUUAUGUGUGGCCUUAAGCCCUUAAUCCUUAUGGGAAGAUAUCAGAUGCUGCAAAGAAGUAACUCUCUCCGAGCACAAGAUUGCAGUCUCUUUGAUUUUAAUAUGUAUACUCAUCUCUAUCUGUCGCUUUUGUUGCUUAUUCAUAUAUAUUGCUUGCACUGUUAAUUAAUUUUAUAACCUAUAACUUCACGAUAUUCUAAAGAUUGCAGUCUUCCCGUUUUUAUACUUUUAUGAAUGGUAUAAUAUUUGUACAUCCAUUGUAGAUCGUAACAUAGUGCUAGGUAAUGUAAUACUGAAGUUAUGGUCGUUGAUCUUUUUGUGACAGAAAUAUCUUGAAGAACUUGACCAAUGCUUAUGGUCAAAUGAUAUUAAAGAGUGGGUUCUUUCAUGCAGACCCUCAUCCUGGAAAUAUUUUGAUUUGUAAGAAUUCUGAGGUAUGUUUUCAAUUAUAGAAACAUCAGCUUUCUCUCUAUAUACUUUAAUCAUUUCGUAUCACGUGUUUUUCAGGUUGCAUUGCUAGACUAUGGACAAGUAAAACAUCUCCCAGAAUAUUUGAGGCUAGGAUAUGCUAAUCUUGUUCUUGCUAUGGCAGAUAAUGAUCCUUUGAGAGCAGUACAGAGUUACAAGUAUGUGUAUGUGUCGUAAACUAUUAUGCAUAGACGGUAUAAAGUUACAGAUUUGACAUGUUUACAUAUGAUAAUUGUUGAACUCGUGAAGAAUUUAAUUACAAAGUCAAAGCAUUGCUAAUACUAUUUUACAGGAAUUUACAUUCUUUAGUAGAUAUCAUCGCCAAUUCACUCUCUUUCUAGUGGUUUGAUAUUAUUAAGAGUAAUUUUGCAGAGACCUUGGAAUUGAAACAUCGAGUACAUGUGCUGAUGAAUCGAAGGAGUUGCUUCAAUUGGCUCGGUCAAUGUUUGAUACUAAGCUCCCACCUGGAGUAACAAUUUUAUCUCCAUUUGCAGAAGAUUCAUCAUUACAAAAAGUUUCUGUUCCAGUAAGAAAUUAGUUUUGAGUAUUGUACGGUAUUGCAACAGAAUCAUUAAUUGGACAGUUUAAUCUUAAUUGCAGAGUUUUCCAGAGGAGUUGUUCUCUGUUCUACGCACAAUGCAAUUGCUGAGAGGACUUAGUGUUGGUAUGGGUGUGAAUUAUUCUUGUGCAGAACAGUGGAGGCCUAUAGCCGAAGAGACAUUGCAUAAAGCUGGAAAAUUGAAAGGUAUCGAUUGCUUGAUAUAUUGAGAUGCAAAUUAUAUGCAUCAUAUUGUAUAGAAAAUAUGUGACUAUUGCAAUAUUGCUUAUUUUACUUCAGAUUUUGAACUCAGAUCGAGGAAGCAAGGAGUGUUGAGAAAAAAAUUAGAGAGAUGACAAAGAAAUGGUGGUAUAAUGAAAAAUAUUUUUUUAUGAUUUGAUGUAUACACUCAUUAUUAUUUGUGUAACCAAAGCAACACGUUUUCUUUGUAUGAAAAUUGAAAUAAUGGCAAUUAACCAACCUAUUACAUAUCAAUUAUCAUUAAAUAACUGAAUGAAAGAAAUGGUGAUCUUGUUUUCAGCAAUCUCUUCCAAGCAUUUCCAUCUGGCGUCGCGUUUUCUGGUAAUUUCCAUUUCUUUCAUUUCCACUUCAUGCAAUUUGCUGAUGCAUCCACGGAUUAAUUCUGGAUCAUGAUCAUAGAUUAUUUUCCUCACACUUAAUGUAAGACUCUGCACAGCACGGUUCCAAUGAUUCUUAUUUCUCUCUAAAGCAGGGAGGACGAUGGGAAGUAUGACUCUGAUGUUUUGCCUGAUCAUAUUCUCAAUGCGAUCGUUGUUCCGUAAAAACAACGCCCGCUCAGCCACCUGUGCACAUGCAUUGUUUGAGAGAGAGAGUAUGAAAAAAGAAGAGAAUGAAAAAUAAUAACCUGAAAAUGUGGGCUGGAAAUGCAGCUUCCAAUCUGUUGAAAGAGUGGGAUCAUGCACCGUUGAAAUUCAGGAAUCUCUGUUAAAUCAAGGAUUUGUUCUAAUUCCACCAGGAACAUUACUUCCUUUGAGCUAUUUGUCAAUGGCCAAUACUUAAGCAUACCCCUUAUUACAGAAUCAGCAAGUUUGCAGUCUUUAUCUACAAACUGUGCAAUGCAGUGUGACAACUGGCGAUGAUAAGAUGGUAGUGACUUAGGUUUAUGCAGAGGAAUCAAUACCUUUAUGAGAAACAGUUUAUGUUCUUCUUUAAGUGGCAGAGCAAAUCCAUUGAUAAUACUGCCUAGGAUCUCUAAAAGCUCUGCAAUCCCAUUGUGGUUCUCUAUUUCAAAUAUUAAUUGAAAGAAGAUAUUGUUUACAGCUCUCCUGAUAAAUGGGCGAUGAACCGUGAAUUUACCAUACAUUCGUUGAAGAAUAGCCUUUAAGUACUCUCUUUCUCUUUGACUUCAGAGUCAAACAAUUCCAGUAACUUCAAAACAGUCAAUUGGUCUAUAUAUCUCUUUGCCAACUUGACAUCUGUUUCUGGAGAUGUAAUGAACCUGGGCAGUAACUCGUACACAGCAUGUAAAUGCAGCCAUGCAGGUUCCAUGGAUGCUUCGUCUUCAUCUGUUUCAAAGUCUUCCACACCCUUAUUGGACGGACUUAAUGCUCUGAAUAGGUUGAGAGAGAUCAUUCUCAUGACUUCUUUCAUGAUAAUCUCCGGAAACUUUGAAUUUGCAGAAUUGACAUAUUCUACCAGCUCCAAAAGUGUCCGUCGUUUGACAUCUUUCUCAGUUAAAUUCUUGGUCAUGUCAGUGAAAUCGAAGAUAACAUAGCACAUGUUGAGUUUUUUGAUGAACAAAUCCUGUUUCUCAGCAGCGCUAGAUAUAUCAUCAAAUCCUGGAAGUGGUUCAUGUACCUAGUUGAUCGCAUUUGAUUGCUGGUAGUCAUUGCUGUUCUCGAAUUUUAUUGGAUUUUUAGGUAUUCGUCCUAGAAUUUGUUUGAUCAUCAUGUCUAGCAACUAUCAAGAUCGUAGAAUUAACAUUCUUAUUAUAUCUACUCUACUUUUUAGUUUACUUGCAAAUAAUUAACAUUCUUCUUCUAACCUCUAUCCUCUUGAUUUCCUUUGUUUUGUCUGGUGUAGUGGUGGAUGAAAUUGUCAGGGGAAAUAAAGCAAUUAACCCCUUAAACCCUUAAGAAAGAUAAAACAAGUACACAAGAGAAAUAAAGCAAUUAACCCCAUAAGGGCUAAUAGACAAAUAACCCAAUAUGAGGGUAUAUAAUGUAACUCAGUUAUUAUAAUUUACAUCAUCAAGUUUAUCUCUAUUACAUCAUCUAUCUUCCUCCUGUACUACCUCUCUUCUCCGAUCAUCAAUCUGCUCCUCCGACUUCUCCGACCAUCUUCACUUUCUCAACAUGGUAUCAGAGCCAUCGAUCCUACACCGCUCUCAAUCUCUGAGUUCCCUCUCCGAACACACACAAGCAACCUUCCUACAAAAACAGGCCAACAACACCUCAACCCAAUCCCCUCCACCACUACCCAAUCUCGAAAAUCCAGAGGAUGACAGCAUCCUCAUCAACGGAACCAUCAACAAUCCCCAUCGCCUCCCAACGUCCUAUAACAUAAACUCACUCUUUCGCAACCCCAUGAACAAGACAGAUUAUAUCUGUUGGAAGUCGCACUUCCUGGGAGUCUUGAAACUCCAUGAUCUCUCCGGCGUAAUCAAUGAACCGGACCAGAAGUUGGAAACCACUACUGGGGAUGUCAACACCCAAUACUCAAAAUGGGUGAAGUCCGAUCAACUUGUACUCACGUGGAUAAGAGCAACUGUCUCCCCGGCGGUACAAUCCAUGAUCCUACACUGCACCACCUCAAAGGAGGCAUGGCACUUGCUGGAUCGGUUCCUCUCGCCACUAUGCAGUAUCCAUAUCAAGGCACUGAGGACAAAGCUACGAGCCACCAAAAAGAAGCCUGAAGUCUCCAUGUCUGAGUACUUGAUGAAGGUCAGAGCAACCAUCGAUGCCAUUCGUGCUGCCGGCUCCGUGAUAGCUGAGGAAGAAAUCAUUGGCUUCGUGGUUGACGGACUCGACGAAAACUACAGAAGUUUCCUGACGCAUCUUCACUUCAGCCCAGCCACAUCAUUUGACGAAUUGGUCAGUCACCUUCUCCAAGAAGAGGAUCUGCUCAAAAGAACAGAGCAGCCGGUCAACCCCAUCGCAUUCUCCGCGCAACAGCAGUCGUCGCAACAUCAUUCGUCGACAGAAGGAAAUAACUCCAAUCAACAACCGAUAGGAAACAACUCUCACAACCAAAACAACUUCAGAGGCCGGCCCAGGGGACGCGGAGGCCGAUAUCGAGGAGGACGAUUUAAUGGGGGACACUUCGGCAGAGGAGCAAACAAUCAACACUACAGGGCACCAACAUAUCACCCCCCCCCCCAACUAUCGACAUCCAGAACACUUCUCGCCGCCGCUACUACCAACACCAGUCUCUAUCGGUGAACAGGUGUGCCAAAUAUGCAAUCGCGCGGGCCACACAGCGAGGUUCUGUAAUAAUCGGCGUAACUAUGCAUACAACGCUCGCCUCAUCAAUGACGACAACUGUGCCAUGUCCGUCCACAGCAGCGCUCCGUCAGCAACAUCUGAAAGCUCGUGGUGUCUCGACAGUGGGGCGUCGAACCACAUGUCUCCAUCUCUGAACUCCUUCAACUCCUUCCAACCUUAUCAAGGUAAAGAUACUAUCAUGGUUGGAAAUGGUUCCCAAUUGCCGAUACUAAGGCAAGGGACUGUCUCUCUCACGACCUCUCUCGGUCGAAUUUUAAUUCCCAAUGUCCUAUACGUACCAGGACUCCACAAAAACCUACUUUCAAUUCAAUCACUUUCCAAUGAUCUAAACUGUGUUUGUUCCUUUGAUUCUAAUGGGUUCACCGUCAAGGCCAAGGAGACGGGAGCUACUAUCAUGAAUGGCAGUAGUGGCCAAGGCCUUUACCACCUCGACAAUUCAACGACAGGCAUCUGCAAGGGAAAACAAGCGUCUGCCUGUACGAGAUUGACGCCGGUGGUAUGGCAUCGUCGGUUGGGUCAUCCGGCUCAACCGAUUUUAUCUAGCGUUCUAAACUCCGUCUCUCCAGCUUCGAUCGACCGUCGACCAUCUACUCUUCCUUUCUUCCAGGUCUGUGCCCUCAAUAAAGCAAAGAGACCUGCCUUUCAUCAUCGUACCUACAUAGCCAGACAGCCACUGGAACUCAUCCACAUCGACCUUUGGGGGCCGGCUUCGGUGACUUCCAGAGAAGUGUUCAAGUACUAUGCGUGCAUAGUGGAUGAUUUCUCCAGAUUCACCUGGUUCAUCUCUUUAGUUCAAAAAUCCGACUUCACUUCCCAUUUCAUUAACUUUUGUAAUUUCGUCGAACGGUCAUUUGUCUUUAAAAUUCAAAAAAUUCAAUGUGACGCCGGCGGUGAAUUCGUCGGCCACAUUCUUCGAAACACUCUCUCAAAACUCGGUAUCCAACAACGUUUUUCCUGCCCUUAUACGCCACAGCAGAACGGCGUCGCCGAACGGAAACAUGGACACAUCGGCGACGUCGGCAGAUGCUUCCUACACCAGGCAUCACUACCACUAGAGCUCUGGACAGACGCGUACUCGAGCGCGACAUUCGUCAUUAAUCGACUUCCAUCAGUCACAACGAACAAGAAGUCACCGUACGAGGUACUAUUUGGGCGAAUCCCAGACUACUCACUACUACGGACCAUCGGAUGUCUCUGUUUUCCAAUCACACCCAACUCUCAGAGAACAAAGCUCCAGAGUGUGGCCACUCGAUGUGUAUUCAUUGGUUAUUCAAAUACGCACAGAGGGUACAAGUGCAAAGACCUAUCUACUGGGAAAAUAACAGUGUCACGGCAUGUUCUCUUUGAUGAAUGCACGUUUCCGUUCCAGCAGCAAACCCAAACCCAAGUACAGCCAGAGUCACACUUCAGACAACUGCCAUCUGCACUAAUUUCACCUCCUACAAGGCUACACACGAUUCGGGAAGCUGAUCAGAUACGAUCAGAAGAUCAUCCAGGAUCCUUAUCGACACAGACGACACAGACUGAUCGUCCAUCAGAAGAAACAGAGGACGAUCGAUCAGCUAUCUACCUCAAUCCGUGUACCGAAACAACGGCGUAUCCCGACACAACUAUCAUAAAGGAUACGCCGAAUAUCAAUCAAGACUGCAACACGAGAAAAUCUGAAAGAGUAAAGACACCACCCUCCUGGCUAAAGGACUAUGAGACAGAGGAUCAUGAACGAACAGGGCGCCAAAAUUCGUCGGCCACAAUCACCAGUUUAAAAGAAACCGGGUCCCCCAAUUCAACAAGGAAUGAAUCCGCUCAAUCAAAACCCGCCCGACUACACUCAUCCGAAUUACCCAAAUCAGUCGGACACUCCCAAACACAAUCCCAAAAUUUAAACAAGAUCCGACUCAUCAAAUUCAAUCGGUCGGACACUCACCCGAUAUCAGACGAACAACUGAGCACCAUCGUCUCCGACCCACCCCGCCGGACUGCGACCAAAAACUGCAACCUGGCCAUUAGUGAACAGUCCGAGCCGACGUCCGUCAGAGAAGCAUUCAAAUCUCCCCUCUGGAUGGAUGCAAUGACAGAUGAAAUCCAAGCACUUAACAUCAACAAUACCUGGAAGCUAGUUCCCAGACAAUCGGGAAUGAAUGUAGUUGGCUCCCGAUGGGUCUUCCAGGUUAAACAAAACUCUGACGGAUCCCUCAAUAGGUACAAAACUCGGCUUGUAGCGAAGGGUUUUCACCAGAAAUACGGGGAGGAUUAUGAUCUCACGUACAGCCCGGUGGUGAAGGCUGCCACUAUACGAACGAUACUGGCAAUUUCGACAUCCCAACGGUGGAAACUUCAUCACCUUGAUGUCUGUAAUGCGUUUCUUAACGGUCAUCUAACCGAAACAGUCUUCAUGGAACAACCUCCAGGGUUCACAAUGAAGAAAACAACGGCCAAAUCUCACGUCUGCAAACUACAAAAAGCGAUCUAUGGCCUGAAACAGGCACCGAGAGCCUGGUAUCAACGACUAAAAGAGUUUCUUCACAGUUGUCAAUUCCUCAAUUCCACAUCUGAUUCAUCACUAUUCAUCAGAAGAAACAACGGAAGGGUCAUCUACGUUCUAAUCUACGUAGAUGACUUCGUAAUCACGGGCGACUGCGAUACAGAGGUUAAAGCUUUCAUCGACUCGGUCUGCAGACAAUUCAAAUGCAGGGAUCUCGGACAACUAUCCUUCUUCCUAGGCAUUGAAAUGGAAUCGACUGCAACGUCCACGAAGAUCACACAGAGAAAGUACUCCCUGGAUCUGCUUGCGAAAUUCAAGAUGAACAAUUCCAAACCAAUCUCGACGCCAUCGACACCAGGAUCCAAACUAACAGCCAACUCAGGGACACCAAUCGAGGAUCCGACUCCAUAUCGGAGCCUGGUUGGAGCUUUGCAAUAUCUCAGUCUCACUCGCCCAGACAUCGCAUUCUCAGUUAAUCAAGUAUGCAAAUUUAUGCAAUUACCAACAACAACCCAUUGGCAGGCAGCCAAACGCAUCCUUCGAUACAUCAAAGGCACCAUUGGUUUUGGGCUCACCUACACACCUUCAACCUCCACAGACCUAAACAUCAUGGUCGACUCGGACUGGGCGGGUGACCCAGAUGACAGACGCUCAACGACCGGAUCUUGUGUCUUCCUCGGCCCAAACCCGGUGGCCUGGAUGUCCAAAAAGCAGCCGACGGUAUCACGAUCCAGCGCCGAGGCUGAAUACAGAGCCAUCGCACAUGUCACGGCCGAGCUCAAAUGGUUCUGCUCGCUCCUAAGGGAGCUGGGAGUGUAUCUGAGACAAGUUCCAGUUAUUCACACUGAUAGCAGAUCGGCAAUUUUUAUGGCAACCAACCCAGUGAUUCAGGCUAAAACGAGGCACAUUGAAAUCGACUACCACUUCAUCAGAGAGUUCAUCAUCCGCGGAGAUAUCAGCCUCAAAUUCGUUCGGUCGGAAAAUCAAAGUGCAGACAUCUUCACCAAAGCUCUACCGGCGUCACUCUUUCAUCGACACCGGCAACGUCUGCGACUCACCGGUGUCGAAGGGGGGUGUCAGGGGAAAUAAAGCAAUUAACCCCUUAAACCCUUAAGAAAGAUAAAACAAGUACACAAGAGAAAUAAAGCAAUUAACCCCAUAAGGGCUAAUAGACAAAUAACCCAAUAUGAGGGUAUAUAAUGUAACUCAGUUAUUAUAAUUUACAUCAUCAAGUUUAUCUCUAUUACAUCAUCUAUCUUCCUCCUGUACUACCUCUCUUCUCCGAUCAUCAAUCUGCUCCUCCGACUCCUCCGACCAUCUUCACUUUCUCAACAGAAAUCUUGGUUCGUUUCAUUCUAUAAUUUUAAUUAUUUCAGUAUAAUGAUAUGGUCAAUGGGUUUGAGUUCGCAUCCACCUCCAUGUGGACAGGGGCGUAUCUAGGGCCCUUGCCCUCCACCCUAAAUGUUGGAAAAAAUUGAAGAUCUAUAUGUAAUAAUUUUUUUAUAUAGGGUUAAAUGUAAUUUUUACAAUAUAUUAAUAUUUUUUUAAAGGUUAAUAUAUAAAUUUUACAAUAUUUUAUACCCUCACGUUUCACAAAUUUUCUCCCCCUCUUCUCCCCCAAAACCCUUAUCUUCUCCGACCUCCGGGAAUCUCUUCUUAGAUUCUUCACUGUGGUUGCUGCCUUGCUGGAAAUCUCUUCUCCAGUUAUCUCUCCGUUGCUACUUGCUGGAUUCUCUCAUUUCUCUGGUAUUUAUUUGUUGAUCUUGUUUGUUGUUUCUACAUAUUAUUUGGGUCUGAUGGAUAUGAUACGAUGGUGAUGGUCUGAUGGAUUUUAUUGAUGUUUGAUUUAUUUAGUUGAUUAGUCCUCAUAUGAAGUUAGGUUCUCCGGUCUGCAUAUGAAGUUAGAACUCACAUGUUAAUGUUCUGUUUUUGAAAAAGAAAAGCACAUUAAGAGAUUUUCUUUUCAUCUUCGCACAUAUAUUCAAGUUUGGGAAUGUUGAAAAUUGACGGCGGUAUUGUUCCUGAUAGAUAGUUGAAACUCAAAUCCCUAAAAAAAUUCCAAGGAUGUGAAUUUAAUGAUUUUAUAUUGAUGAAAUGUGUUGUUAAACAAAUGGAGAGUAUAAAAAAAAUAAAACUUACAGAUAUGCCAAAUUUUCAAAUUCCCCAAUGCUGGAUCCUGGAUGGAAUCGUACCAGCUAUUCUAGUGUUUCUUAAAAUCCUAUUAUCAUUCAAACACAGCUAAAAUAUAAGUAUUAUGUAAAUUAAAAAAAUAUAGAUAGAUAGAUCAUAUAUAGAUGAAUCUUUCUUAAUGGUUUGGACUUUAGGGUUAAUGUAUUGAAUAUUCCUAAAUCAAUUUGAAUAUUAAUUAAUGUAUUGGAUAUUAAUUAUGGAAUGAAUGUAUUGAAUUUUUAUAGGUUUUUAUAAUCUAUUUUAUGAAUAGGUCGUGCCAAAAUUUUUAUAGGUUUUUAAAUCAGUACAAAAAAAUUUCCCGCCUUCGGCGAUUCUUGCCCCCCCUGUCGGGGAAUCCUGGAUACGCCACUACAUGUGGAUCCGCCAAUGUUCUCAUUUCUUCACCACCUUAUUGAUUUUGUUUAUUAAUUUCAUAUUUCCCCUCCUUUCUAUCGAUCCUUCUGCAGACCUCUUUCAGAAUUUGUUCCUCUUGCAAAAUCCGUAACUAUUAACUACGAACUGUGAGAUCUGGGAUUUGACAUCCAAAAAUUCCCAUUUUAAUUUCUUAGCCUUUUUCCUAUCCAAAUUAUCUGUCAACUGUCAGAUGAUUUUAUGCAAACACUUUCUAAUAUUUGCUUGUCGACAUCCUAUUUUGGGUUUGUAGCUUGAAUAAAUUUUCAAUUUUUAUCGUAUAAUGUAUUACUCUCGGUAAUCAAGCUUAUCAACUUCAGCUCUGAUUUUUUGUUUCAUGUCUGCAGUUAUUUUAAGACCAAGUUACUGUCUUCAAUAACACGCUAAAAAAUCAUGGCCUCCCGUUUCUGGACUCAGGUAAUCACGGCUUGUGUUAUUUCCCCAAAGAAAAUACUAAAAUAGUGCUCCCUUCUUGGUACCCUUUAUUUUGAAGACUUAUUUAUUUCUCUUGUGAUGAAUUACCAGGGUGGUAGUGACACCGAUGAAGACGAAAGUGAGUAUGAAAUUGAUUCAGAGGAUGAGGUCGAGCCAAGUUCUGGUGCAAAACCAGCAAACCGUUAUCUGGAGGAAAAUGCUAGUGAUAGCGAUGACUCUGAUGGCCACAAACGUGUGGUGCGCUCUGCCAGAGACAAGCGCUUUGAUGAAAUGUCAGCUACUGUAGAUCAGAUACGGAAUGCCAUGAAGAUCAAUGAUUGGGUAAGCCUGCAAGAGAGCUUCGACAAAAUUAACAAACAGCUAGAGAAGGUCAUUCGGGUGAUGAAAACCGACACGGUCCCCAAUCUUUACCUCAAGGCUCUAAUCAUAUUAGAGGAUUUUCUUGCCGAGUCCCUGGCAAAUAAGGAUGCCAAGAAGAAGAUGAGCAGUAGCAAUGCCAAGGCAUUGAACUCAAUGAAGCAGAAACUAAAGAAGAAUAACAAGCAGUAUGAGGAGGCGAUUACAAACUACAGACAGAAACCCGAAACUGAGAGUGAAUCGGAGAGUGAUGCUAACGACUCUGAAUCAGUUUCAGAAUUUGAGGAAGAUCCAACAGCAGCUGCACCCUCCGAUGAGGACAACGUCGAUGACCAGGAUCAAAAUGAUAAGGGUUGGGAGCGACAGAUGAACAAAAAAGACAAACUUAUGGACAAGCAGUUCAUGAAGGACCCAAGUGAGAUCACAUGGGAAAUAGUUGACAAGAAGUUUAAAGAUAUUGUGGCUGCAAGAGGUAAAAAGGGAACCAGCAGAGCUGAGCAAGUUGAGCAGCUUACAUUUUUGACUCGAGUUGCAAAAACGCCUGCUCAGAAGCUUGAAAUCUUGUUCAGUGUGAUAUCUUCCCAGUUUGAUAUCAAUCUGAGUAUUAGUGGUCACAUGCCUAUAAAUAUUUGGAAAAAGUGCUUAGACAAUUUCCUAGGUGCGUUAGACAUCCUUGAGCAGAAUCCAAACAUAGUGGUUGAUCAAUCUGCCGAGCCUGAAGAUAAGGAAUCACAUAAAGAUUCAGAUUAUGAAGGAACCAUCCAUAUCUCAGGGAGCUUAGUAGCUUUGCUUGACCGGCUAGAUACUGAAUUUUACAAGAGCUUGCAAUGCAUUGAUCCCCAUACCAAGGAGUAUGUUGAUAGACUUAGAGAUGAGCCUAUGUUUUCUCUUCUUGCUCAAAAUGUUCAAAGAUAUUUGGAAAAAAUGGGUGAUUUUAAAGGAGCUUCCAAAGUGGCUUUGAGACAGGUUGAGCUUAUAUAUUAUAAGCCUCAGGAAGUUUACGACUCGAUGAGAAAACUAGCAGAACAUGAAGCUCUUGACAGAGAACUUGGUGGAGAUGAGAAUCAAAAUGCCGAAGAAAUCAAAGGACCUUCUGCAUUUAUUGUUAUCCCAAAAGUUGUUCCACGGAGUCCUACGUUCCCAGAAAGUAGCCGAGCAUUGAUGGAUAGAUUGGUUUCCCUUAUAUACAAGAGUGGUGAUGAAAGGACGAAGGCUCGAACAAUGCUCUGUGAUAUCUAUCACCAUGCCAUCUUUGAUGAAUUUUCCAUUGCUUGUGAUCUUUUACUAAUGAGUCAUCUCCAGGAAGGAGUCCAACAUAUGGACAUAUUGACACAAAUGCUGUUCAAUAGGGUGAUGGCUCAACUUGGUCUCUGUGCUUUUAGAGCUGGCCUUACUAAAGAAGCUCACGGAUGCCUUUCUGAACUCUAUUCAGGUGGAAGGGUAAGGGAGUUGCUUGCCCAAGGUAUCUCGCAAAAUCGAUAUUAUGAAAAGACUCUAGAGCAGGUAUCUUUGUAUUAGAUAUUUAAGUUUUUUAUUUAUAUAUUUUUUACUCACGAAUCAUAUCAUUUUGUUCUUUUCUAAAAUACAUUGCAAGAUUUCCUAUGCUUGUGACGAGCAGAUAGUCGCAUAUAUAUGUCAUAUUGUAACUGCGCAAAUUUCGGCUUGCAUAUUUGCAAGCAUGUGAUUGUAUGUUUGGUGGAAAUUUACGCAGAUCCAUGCUAGAAUUUUGACCCCAUCUCGAUGGAAGAUUUAAAUUUCAUUAGUUAGUAGAUGACCGUCAACCGACCGGUCGAAUAAUUAACAAGUAUCAAGUUCAUUUAUGAUAAAGUGUAGAGAAAGUGAUGGGAUUUGUGAGAAUCUAGGAUUGCAGCAACAUGCCAAUCCUCAACAUUUAGCUAUGGAAGAUGAAUAAACGAUAGUCAUGAUCUCAAGCUAUAAGAUGAUUGAACUCUUUAGAGCUUUUUUUUAAAUUCUUAUAAGUAAUAUCAUUAUGUUACGAAGUAUGAACACUCAACUUUCUUUUAGUUUGUGUUUUGAACCUUAUUGCUUGAGAUACAUAAAUAUCUUUCUAAGUAUUUAAACCUUAUUUUUAAGAUACUAAGCAUUUUCUAAAUAUGAUAUAGGCUUAUAAGCUUAUUUAUCCCUAUUUUUUUUGCAUUAUAUUACCCACUGAAAAUCCAUUCUUCAUUAUUUCUCUCAUAGUCUAAUAUUCACUUUAUUGUAAUUAUUUUCAUUUACUAUUUAUCAAUUGACUGUCUAUGCUAAUUGACUAUGGCUGUUCUUUGUCUAUUUAUUUGGAUGCCUUUUAUUAUAAAAAAAUACAGUGUGAUAAUUAGAUUUUUAUAUGUGAUUGCUGCUGUUAUUGUAAAUAUAAUUGCUUUGUUUUCUUGUGCAAUCAUGAUGCAUUGAUUUGCAUAUUGAAUGUUUUCAUAGUUCAUCUUUUUAUGUUGUAAGAUAUGGAUUUAUUUGGGUUUGUUUUGUUUUUUGCAGGAAAAAAUUGAGAGGAUGAGACAAAUGCCCUACCAUAUGCACAUAAAUCUUGAGCUUCUAGAAGCAGUCCAUUUAAUUUGUGCUAUGCUCCUUGAGGUUCCCAACAUGGCUCUAAACUCAAAUGAUGUUAGACAGAAAGUGAUGAAUAAGAAUUUCCGUAGACUCCUUGAUAUUAGUGAACGACAGACUUUUGGAGGACCUCCUGAAAAUGUUAGAGACCAUAUAAUGGCUGCGGCAAAAGGUCUUAGAAAGGGAGAUUUUGAGAAGGCCUUUGAUUUCAUCAGCUUCCUUGAUACAUGGAAGCUUUUGAAGAACAAAGAAAGUGUUCUGGCAAUGUUGAAAUCCAAGAUCAAAGAAGAAGCUUUAAGGACAUAUUUAAUUUCCAAUGCGUGUAGCUACGUGUCGUUGAGUUUGGAUCAUCUCAUUCUUAUGUUUGGCCUUUCUAACACACAAGUUCACAGCAUUGUGAGUAAGAUGAUGAUCACAGAGGAAUUGCAAGCAAGCUGGGACCAACCUGCAAAGUGUAUAAUAUUCCAUAGUAUGGAGCAAACAAGAGUGCAGACCCUCUCUUUCCAGCUUUCGGACAAACUCAAUGUUCUUGCUGAUAGCAAUGAAAGAGCAUAUGAGGUCCGAACAGGUGGUAGUUUGGAUGGGCUUCCUUCAAGACGGCGGACAGAUGGUCAGGAUUAUUCUGGAAAAUGGCAAGAUAAUAUCUUCACAUCACAAGGAAGGCAAGGUGGCGGUGGAGGACGUACAGGUUAUACUGGAAGAUUUGGGGGCUCUACACAAUCUUCGGUGGGAGUAUUCUCAAGGGACAAGGGAGUUGGAGGAGGGUAUGGAAUUCGGGGCACCGGUGGUGGUGCUCGGAAUCAAGAUGGAAGACAUUCAUAUCAAACAGGAUUGUCUAUGAAAGGAAGGCAGGCAGAUGCUUCAAGUCGUAUGGUUAGUCUUAGCAGGGGUGACAGAUUUUAAUGAAUGACUGUCUGACUUGGUAUUUUUUGCUUAUUGGCAAUUUUCUUAUAGCAUCGAUGAGGAUUAAAUCAUGAUCUUGAUAUAUUUUGUUUCUUCAAAUUAAACCAGUUUUAAGUUAUUGAUAAGUCAUGAUGAUGUUCUUGAUAUUAGAUUUAAUAAUUAUAAACUUUUAAUACUAUUCUGUUUUAUGUUGAAGUUCAAUUAUUCAUGCUUGUGUGAUUGUGUUUACAUUUUGCAUUAGCUUUUAAAUCUCAGUUUAGUUAUUUUUUUAGCGAGCUCUAUUGAAGUUCUUUUAUAUUGCAGUAACAUAUGGUAGCAGCUCUUCGUCGCCAUAUCAAUCCUGCAAUCAUUUAUCUGNNNNNNNNNNNNNNNNNNNNNNNNNNNNNNNNNNNNNNNNNNNNNNNNNNNNNNNNNNNNNNNNNNNNNNNNNNNNNNNNNNNNNNNNNNNNNNNNNNNNGUUUCUUCAAAUCAAACCAGUUUUAAGUUCUCGAUCAUAAUGCUGUUCUUGAUAAAAGAUUCUAUAAUUAUAAAGAUUUUUAUACAAUUCUAUUUUAUUUUGAAGUCGAAUAAUUUAUGUUUGUGUUUAAAAGAUUGUUGUUUUGAUUCUCUUCAAUUUUUGUUGUUUGGAUGGUGGAUGGGUUAUCAAUACGUUCUUCAUCUUCCACAAAUAUUGAUUUGUUUUGGUUUAAUUCUUAUUCAGGACAUAACAAGUUAUCAUCCUCAAAUACAAAUACUGAUGAGUUGAAUUUAUUUAUUUAUUUUAUAUAUGAACCAGUCUUCAUAUUCUACAAGUCCCUGCACACCAGAAUUAAACACACCAAACUACUCUUGAGUCUUGACCAAAGACAAGAGAUGUUAUUUACUGAUUUUAUUUAAGUACAACAUCAUGAUACUAAUCAACUACUAACAGUUGACAAAUGAGUAGCUAACUGUCAUAUGCCCCAUUUGAUAGCCAUUGCCAUCAGUAUCAAUUGCUUUAAAUGCAUUCCAAUCAAGAUCGAGGCCGCCGUUGGCGCAUUGGUCCACUAUCCUCACGGUGAUCGAAUUCCCUGUCCUAGUGUUGGUCACCUGCAGGGAUUUGAUGAGAAAUUGAAAAGAGGGUGGGAGAUAAAGAAGCAUGUAUAGAGCUAAAAAAAUCGACAUACUCUCAGACAUCGACCGCAAGAGGCUUGGCCACGCGGUCCAACAGGACCACAGAAUGCGGUCCAAUCAUAUUGUUUACGCCAUGAAAGAGGUUUAUCAGCAUCCCAUGUAGAACAAUAUGCACUGACUGCCCUCAGGUUCCAGUUGUUCUGUUGGGGAUAGUAGUAGUGGUAUGUUGCCCGGAUGUUUGAAGCAGACUGUGCAGUUGUUAAAACUGCCAUGCAACUGAUAGCUAAAAAAACUGCAACCACGGCAGCAGACCAAGUAACCUUCUUCUCCAUCAUCAUCCUCUGAUCGAUCUUCGAUCCUUGUAAUUAAUAUGAAUUGAGUGCCUCCCCUCCCACUGAUGACUGAUGUGGAAUUUAUAGGGUAGAAAAGUAGAAUUAGUCAUAUUAUUGGAAUGGAAAUUCUAAGCAUACUGCUGUUCCAAAUCGGAAACUCCAGUGAAUCAUAUUGAUGUUUUGUGAGAAGAAAAUUUGCAUUCUAAUGUUGUCAUGUUUCUAUUUGCCAUCUAAAUUUCUUUGGAUCUUUCAUUAUAAUAUUAAGGGCGGCUAUUAAUUGUUGUGGAAUUCUGGCAGGAGGGCCAUUAUCGAACAGUGAAGAUUGUAGAAAGAAUCUUGUGUUUUUGUAUUGCACGCUUCAACAUUUCCAUCUGACUUCACCAAUCCUCCCAAUCUGAUUUAAAAUUUCAGCAAGUCACUGUCAUAAAAAUUUAUCUAUGUAAAUUACCGAAUUACAUACAUCAUUUAUACUGCGUUGGCAUUUGAAUAUUUGAUCCACACACAAUAAUAAGUCUUACUGGACCAGAACCAAAUUGUUUGCAACUCUAGUAAUAAUUAUAUUGACCCAUAAAAAUUAUUUUACGGGCUUUAGAGUUGGGCUGAGUCGAGCCUGGGGUGACCUGAGUCCGGUUUGUUUAUUAAAUAAGCAUCCAUUUUUUAGAGCUUGUUUAGAGCUUCAAUGUCCUCCCAGGAUGUGCCUUCCUGACGCUCUGCUCUACUGGACUUAAGGUUGUUGGAUUUUGCGCCCCAUUCGAUAAAUGACCCUAUAAUCAACAAUUGCUAAAGGAAAUAUUAUGGGUUCAUUUCUUACAACAAGAAUUGAAAUCGUCUCUACUUCUCUCAUGGUGGUCCGGUGAAUUUCUUGAGCCUUGAAACAUGAAAUAUUUAUUUGACCGACAUUAGGAAGCUAUCAUACCAUGUAAAGAUUAGAAGAUAGAAGAAGAGUAGGACGAAUUGAAGAAGAUUAUAGAACACAUUUAUAUAGAUAGAAUACGCGAUCUGAACUAGAAGAAAAGGUAACUGUCAGUGCCAUGAUUUUGACAAUCUAUUCUAUUCACUAUAACAACGAUCACUGACUUGUUUUGAACCUUGGAAAGAUUUGUGAUAAAAUCAACAUAAAUGAAUAUUGAUGAUACCCCUGGUCCAUCAGACCAGGCUCAUCCCCGACCAGGCUUACUUGACCAGUGAAAGAAGGCCCGGUCCAGUAGGAAAGUGUAUAAAUACCCCUAGGGGUUGGUUGGAUGUAGAAGGGGAGAGAAACAUUGAGAGUACACUUGUAAUAGAGAUUGUUUGGUAUAUACUCUGUACCACACCAUCAAAUAUAAAUUCAGAUAUCCUUAACCAUGCCUUUCUACUAAAAUUGAGUAGUGAUUCUUCUGAUGAUUCUUUUCAAUCAAUUCAGAUGAGUUUCUUUUUAAGUGAUCUUUGCUAGUGAAAUUCAGAACCUUGUUAGAGCUUUCAUUCAACUUCUUUGCUUCUUCUGAUUUCUAAUUCUCUUUAUUUCUUCAAUUAAGGAUCCUUUGAUAUUAUCAGUCUUAUUUAUGAACAAAACCUCCUCCUCUUCCUCCUCGUGACACCUGAAGGUAAUGAGAUGCUCCUCUUACAAUAAAUUACCUGGAGUCUUAAGUUACACACAUUAGUUUCCACUGUAAAAAACUUAGUGAAAUCAGGGAAUUUUAAAAUUGGGGCUUCAAUCAUGGCUAAUUCAGACCCCAAAAAAUGAAUUUUUCUUUAGGAGAUCAGUCAUAGGAGAAUCAAUUUCAACAAAUCCUCUUGUGAAUCUUCUGUAAUACCUUGUGAGGCGGCCUAGAAAUUCUCUUAAUAAUUUCAGAGAUUUAACGAAAGACCAAUCCACCAUAGUUCUAAUAUUUUGUUGGAUCAGGGUUUACUCCUUUCUUACUGGUAAUUAUAUGCCCUAAAAAUUACAUAGAUUCUUUGCCAAAAGAACAUUUGGAUUUCUUUGUCAAUAGAUGAUUCAUUUUUAACACUUCAAAAUUUUUUGUAGAUGCUUGAUGUGAUCAUUAAGUGAGGUACAAUAAAUCAAAAAUAUAUAUAUCAUCAAAGAAGACUAUCAUAACUUUUCUCAAAUAUUUAUGGAAAACUCUGUUUAUUACCGUCUGAAAAUAUGUCGGUGCAUUGGAUAGCCUAAACUCUAAUCCUAACCCAAAGGUUCACUAUUAUUUAUCCAAGAGAUCCCUUUCCAUACUCUUUGCCCUUCCACUCAAAUUUCAUACACAACUCCUUAUAAUUAGAUAUCACAUCGAAUUUGUUUAUAGUGAGCCGAACCUUUAUGCGUCAUCUUGCAUUGAAAUCACUCUCGAUCAACCUGCAAUUGUCAUCCUAUGAACAGUAUUAUGUCACUCACGCAAACUUAUAUUUGAACUUGUUAGAAUUAUAUAAUUAUGAUGUAUAUUAUCCAAGUAAUGAAAUGUAAUGCAAUAGUUUAUAUAUGAUAAUAUUUGAACUUGCUGAAAAGUAAAUGACAAUACAGAUUCGAGAAGAUUGAGAUGAUUGCAGGAUGUAGAUGUUGGAGAUGAUGAAGACGAUGAACAGAUCGGAUGGAUGAUCACCAGAUGAACAGAUGACUUGAUCAGAUGAUUCAGAGAGAGCAAGACAGAUUAUUGAAGAAGACAAAUUGCUGAAGCCAAAUUCCAGAAGAUUGAUUUGGAUUGCGAGACAUAUUCAAAGAGAAUUACUUGAUGGCAAAACCUUAAUGUUUGUCUUGGGUUAAUUCUGAUUUAUAGGAGGUUUGCUCCAACGACUAAAUUAGUUUAACUGGUGGUUGGUGUAAUCAAUGUUGGAUUUAAGGUAAUUGAUGGAUUAGGAAAAGAUAUUGGACUUGGUUAAAGUUCCUAGUUAGUAUAGGGUUUAAAUGUAAUUUUCCUAAUAUAAUUCUAAUAGAACUACGUCCAUUCAGAGUUCAGACCAAUCCUGACCCGACUCGGCCUGGUCCGAGGGAUAGAAGAAAAUCCAUAAAUAUCAAUCUUUUAAAAGGAGAAGAUGAAGCACUGAAUCGAUCUGCUACCAAGGCUCGCGGUGGUGCGAGGUGAUGCCGGAGACUCUGGAGUCCACGACGCGCGCUCUACGUCAAAUACCUGCAAGUAGAAACUAGGUGAUUCUAGUGAGAAUCGGAGAGUUUCUUAGUGAUGCUCUGGUGAGAGUGGAGCUUGUGUUGUGCCUUUGAGUGUCCCCUUGGGACCCUUUUUAUAGGGUCUCGGAGGGCGUGAUCAAAGGCGGACAUCGCGCCUAUGGUCAUAUAUGGAAACAUUUAUGACGUUGGCUGGCGGCGAGUAACGGUCGUAAGUCGGCGAUUCAGGUAUGAAAAUCGCCUAUUUAGGGCAAACUCGCCGAGUUUCCAGGGGCGAGAUGUGUAGUCUACCAUACUGCCGAUCUGGGCCCUAACUCGGCGAUUUGUCCCUAAAGUCGGCGACUUGGUAGUCCAAUCGUGACUUACGGGCUAACUCGGCGAUUUGGACGAUGAAUUUGUUCCGCACCGUGGGAGCUCUCCGGAGGUCCGGCGUAAAGCGACGGAACCCUAGUCCUUGUUGAAAAGCGUUGCUGGGAGUGACUGCCGUAAUUAGGCAUGUCUCACCAGUACUCCCCCCUGAAGAGAGCACAAGAAACAUGCUUGUAUAGCCAGUACCCCCCCCUCCAACCAAAGUUCAAUGUGUGAUCCGCAUCAAGGCCGAAGCGACAAGAUGAAAUCGAAUCAUUCCGCUCACAGUGACGUACUGAUUCUGUAUCCAUUAUGGCCUAAGCGACAAUAAUGGAUUGACUCUGUAGGGUCGAACCGACAGAAUCGAGUUCCAGGCCAACGGAACUACCUGUUUAUAGUCUAACCCUGAUCAAGAGCGACUGCACUGUGUUUAUCAAGGUCGGAGCGACAAGAUUAAUUCCGGCCGAAGCGACGGAACCUGAUUCAGGCCGAAGCGACAUAAUCGAGUUCUAGCCAAAGCGAUAGAACCGAGUUCUAGCCAAAGCGAUAGAACUAAUGUUUAUAGUCCACCCUGAUCAAGAGCGACUUUUAUGUCCGCAACGACGGUUACCCCCUCAUGGUCUAAAGCGGCAAGACGGGUUGAGACCAUUAAGACCAAAGCGACAGAAUGAUCUCUAGUCUAUCAAGGCAAAAGCGGCAGGAUAAAUUGACUCACUAUCAGAGUUUGAUUCUGGCCGAAGCGACAGAAUAAUACUUGCAAAAAAGAAAACAUCCUGCAAAACAACUAUAUCAGUCUAAGACGCAUAUUAUUAUUGACCAAUUGAACUUAUCGUGCGAUUUUACCUCUCGUGAUAUUCUUCUUUUGCUCGAACCAAUCCUAAUUGGUAAAUCUGGCCGAAGCGAUAAAUUUUACCGUGCUUAUUUUGACGACUCAAUUCUGUCCGGAGCGACAGAAGUGUCGGGAAAGCUUGUAAUACUCCCCCCUGAAAUUUGACGAUUUCCCGCCGAAGCGACAGAAAUGUCGGGAGAGCUUGUGAUACUCCCCCUCGAAGUCUGACGAUUUCCGGCCGGAGCGAUAGAAAUGUCGGGAGAGCUUGUGAUACCCCCCUCGAAAUUCGACGAUUUCCGGUCGGAGCGACAGAAAUGUCGGGAGAGCUUGUGAUACCCCCCCUCGAAAUUCGACGAUUUCCGGCCGGAGCGACAGAAAUGUCGGGAGAGCUUGUGAUGCUCCCUCUCGAGAUUCGACGAUUUCCCGCCGGAGCGACAGAAAUGUCGGGAGAGCUUAUGAUGCUCCCCCUCGAGAUUCGACGAUUUCCCGCCGAAGCGACAGAAAUGUCGGGAGAGCUUAUGAUACUCCCCCUUUAACACCUGCAUAAAAAUGUGUCGUAUUCUGGCUGAGGUGGUAGGAGUGUCGGAGAGAGUUUGUAAUACUCCCCUCGAAUUGUGACAACUUCUGGCCGAAGCGACAGAAGUGUCGUGGAGAGUUUGUGAUACUCCCUUUGGAAUGAGACGACUUCUAGCCAAGACGACAGAAGUGUUGAUGAGAGUUUAUGAUACUCUCCUCCAAAGAUGGGCGAGACGACUUCCGGCUAGAGUGACAGAAGCGUCGGAGAGAGUUUGUGAUACUCCCCCUGAAAUCGUGCCGUUGUGACAGAUUGUAGAGUUAUGUUUUGGAUGUUUCUGCCCGAGGUGAUAGAAGUAUUGAGGAGAGCUUGUGAUACUCCCUUCGAAAGUCAACCCGACAACUUUUAAAAUAUUGGUGUAACGAAAGUAUUGGAGAGAGCUUGUGAUACUCCCCUCGAGAAUCAUGUCGUCGCGACAUAUGAAAUGAUUUUUCGGAAUAUUUUGCAAUCUUUCUAUUUUGAUUAUCAAUGAACUAUCUUUUGUCUUUUCUUUGCUAAUCUUCCAUAUAAAUCAUCUUUAAAUUGUAACCUAGGCUUGAAACUAGAUUCACAAGCCGUAACUUAGCCACUCUGGACGUAAGUUAGACUCUGCUAACCCUCGCUUAGCCACUCUGGACGUAAGCUUGGUCGUACGAAUCGUAGUUCAGUCGUCAGUUAAAUUUACGGAUAAUUUAUAUCUUCAAAUUAAUGUAGAGUUACAAAGAAUAGUACAAAUAAACCAAAAAUUAAGAUGCACAAUAUUAUUUAGAAUCCUGGGGUUAGAUCCGCAAUUUAGGACUACAAUUCUAGAUUUGAACCCUGGUGUUUUAGCCAAGCUCCGGCCAUAGCGGUAGAGCGAAUCUCGAUCCUCAUCAAGGCAUUAGCGACAAGAUGGGAUAGGAUCAUUUAGGCCAAAGCGACAAAAUGACCCUUGCUCUAUUAAAACCAUAGCGACAGAAUAGAUUUAAAACCGGGGUAUCAUUGAUUGUAGUCGUAAAUUUAGAAUCUCAGGGUUAGAUUCGUAAAUCGGAGUCGUAAUUUAGAUUCUUAAGUCGCACCUUGGACUUGUAAAUCGUAAACUUGACUUGUAAUCGUAAUUUAGACUUUUUGUCGUAAAUUAGAUUUUGUAAUCAUCACUUAGACUCGUGGGUCGUAAGCUAGAUCUGAGUAACGGGUGUCAUCCAGCUAAAGCGAUGGAUUGAUCUCUAUGAAAUUAUCCUUUGUUGGUUUGCCGUAUUAAUCCUAGAACCGUAACGUAGGCUCGAAACUGGACUCGUAAAUCGUAAUUUAGACACUCUGGCCGUAAACUAGAUUUUGUAACCCCCACUUAGCCACUCUGGACGUAAGUUUGGUUUUGUAUCCCCCACUUAGGCACUCUGGCCGUAAGCUUGGUUGUAAUUAAGAGUCGUAAUUCAGACAAUUCCCAAACCGACUCAGAAUUACAAAAAAUCAUAGGUGUAUUUACUUUUCAUCGUAAUUUAGACUUGUACGUCGUAAAUUAGAUUUUGAAAGAGAACUUAGAUUCGUAAAUAUUUGAAAUCUUAGGGUUUGAUUCGUAAAUAUUCGUGAGUCGUAAUUUAGAUUCUUAAGUCGCAUGUUGACUCGUAAAUCGCAAACUAGACUUGUAAUCGUAAUUUAAACUCUUUGUCGUAAAUUAGAUUUCGUAACUAUCAUUUUGACUCUUGGGUAAAAUAGAUGAUAGAUAAGGUCGAAGCGAUGGAUGUCACCCAGCCGAAGCGAUGAGUGAUUGAUCCGUCUGAAGUGAUGGAUGAUUAUUCUAAAUGUGGCAUACAUAUCGCAUAAUACCUCCACGGGUUAAAGGAGACAUCUACUUAGAAUAAUAUCGUUAUUACAUGGUUGAGAACAAUAGAAGUGACAACCAAAAGAAUAUAUGAGUUCCUUUGAUGUUUGGUUGCCACUGUCGGAUGCAUAGCCUAUCUGGUUACUUUGGCCAAUCCUAUCUUUCUUCUGACAGAUGAUAGUUCCCCACUAUUAGCGUGACACACUCGAUUGUGAGUGUGAGCUGUGUCUUUGGUUGUCAUCACUGUUAUAGGAUUGAGAACGUAGGCUAUGACUUUGGUGGCCACAACUGUUACCAGAAUGAGAGUGUGAGUUAUGACUUUGGUAGCCAUAACUGCUACUGGAUUUAGGGUGUGAGCUAUGACUUUGGUAGCCAUAACUGCUACCCGGAGACUUCUCGCUGUAUCGAAGAAGAUUAGUCGAGGUUUCGGAUUGAGAACUUGUAUCCUCGUAUGUAUCUUCUUUAGCAUAGCGAGGUUUCUUCCGGCUGGACGGCUCGAGUUCGUCUAGCUUGUCAUUGUCCUCCUCUUCUAUCUCAAUAUACGAUUGAGCUCGUUGGAAGAGGUUGGGCAGGGUCUCCACUUUAUGGAGCAUUAGAUUCUGAGCCAAAGGGGAGAAGGGUACCAACCCUCUCACGUAUCCUGCUAUGGCCAGACUUGGGAUUAGGUCGUUCACUUCUGUCAUCAUCGAAGUGAACUUAAUCGUGUAAUCCUUCAGAGACAAUUUGUUCUGUCGUAGUGCCAGUAGUGUGUUGGCACUGUGUUUUAUUCUGAUCAUCCCCACAUGUUGGGCGAUGAACUUGGAAGAGAGGUUCGCGAAGCUGGAGACUGAGCCAGCCGGCAGACCGGAAAACCAUUGAUAUGCGUUGCCUUUCAGAGUGCCAGGGAAGGCCAGACACAACAACCCAUUAUCGGUAGUUUGCGGCUCCAAGAUAUUCAGGUAGAGGUUAACAUGAUCCUCUGGAUCUGUCGUUCCAUCGUACAAGUCUAUCUUCGGACACCGCCAAGAUUGCGGAAAAGGUUUUCUCAGGAGGUCCCUAUGAAAGGGUGCCCUUCCUAUUCUGAGAAAAUCAUGUGGGUCCCUUAUAUCAUGCUUGUCUUUACGAAGCACUUCCUUGAUUACCCUAUUCAUGAGUGUGGCAUCGUAAUCCGUACUAGUCGUGGAACUCGAAGGUAUACCCGAGUGAUAUAUUGCGGACCUGUGGUGAGAACUGAGAUGUUGUGUCUCUUUGUUUCACCGUGGUUGUCUCCCGUAGGAGAGUGAUGCGAGUUGGAUUUGGGUUGCCCUGAGAUUGCAGGACUCUUUCCCUUGAGCUCUCAAAGCUCCUUGGAUAUCCUUGAUUCGGACCAAUGAUGUGUACUUAAGUUUGUCUUCCUCAAAUGUGGGUUAGACUUGCUUGUCGUACAUCGUAUGGUGGUCCGGCUCAUUGAAGCCUCUAGGUUGGUUAUCCUUUUGUCCAACUUCAACAUGAGAGCAUGCAUGUGCGCAAGCCUCUCCUGUGUUGUCGGAGUUGGGUUCACACCCCCAUUUAGUGGGAGUGGUGAGGACACCUCAUGUGUAGGUGAUGGUGCAUUAGAGGUUGGUACAGUACGAGGACCAACCCUUCUGCUAGAAGCUCUUACCGCAGUAGCAGUGGCAAGAGCUUUCUUCUGACCCUUAGCAACAGGAUCCAUAAAUAGCAGGGAUAGUUGCUUCUACCGGGCUGAAGCAACGGGCAACGAGUAAAAGUUUUUCCGAAGUGUCGGAAGCUAUGGGUAGGUACCUGCCCCCCCCAGGUAUCACAAAACAGAAAAUUUUUGUAUGAUAUUUCUUUGCAGUUUUGUGACCCCCUUGAGGAGUACUACUAGUUCCCAAAGUUUGAAAUUAGCAAAAAAUGUCGCAAAUUUUUUGCAAUUUUUCGGCAGAAAAUCGUGCCGCCGGAGGUGAUUUCUGGGAUGCCUGUUUAGACCUAUCCCAGAAAAGAUUUCUGCCACUCUUUGGAAAUCGUAGAGAAAACUUUUUUCACGUAAUAUGUGGUCUCAGAACCUCAAAAUCGGAUCUGGGAAUUCCGGAGGUGGACCGACGAAAUCACUGGAAGUGAAAAAAGGCGAAAAACCCAAUAUUUUUUUUUUACCGAAACGACGAGGCGAAUCCAACCGUGACAAUGGAUUUUCGUUUCGGUCAAAAAGCUGGGCUAUGAGUGGUCUUAUUCAGCCAAAGCGAUGAAUGAAGACGAUGAUCGAAUGGACGAGUUUGCCCGUAAAUAGGCGAGUUUGCCCUUAAAUAGGUGAGUUUGCCCCCAAAUAGGCGAUUUUUGCUUGGGAAAAAUCCAACCUAUGCGAAGACGUAAGUUCCGAAGCAAAGGAUGACUUGACCGAGCUUGUUCAAAAAACAAAGAAAUUAAGAAUCGGCGAUUUAGGGAUCUAAAUCGGCGACUUUGACUUUGGGAGUUUUUGAACAGAGUCGUGGACAGUACUCUUAGCUUAGCAGACGAUAUUCCGGAUCGGGCGAUUCUCAAGGCUAAGUCGGCUAUUUAAGAAUAAAUCGGACCUGAGCCGAGAAUCGGCUAUCGAUCUAAAUCGGCGACUUAGUUGACAAAGUCGACGAACCCUCCGAGAGAGCUCGAGCCGGACUUUGCAAAAAAAAUCGUGAUUACGACGGGAUACCAGUGGUUCGGUAGUCCCACAGACGGCGCCAGCUGAUGAAGCACUGAAUCUGCUACCAGGGCUCGCGCUGGUGCGAGGUGAUGUCGGAGGCUCUGGAGUCCACGACGUGUGCUCUACGUCAAAUACCUGCAAGUAGAAACUAGGCGAUUCUAGUGAGAAUCGACGAGUUUCUUAGUAAUGCUCUGGUGAGAGUGGAACUUGUGUUGUGCCUUUGAGUGUCCCCUUGGGACCCUUUUUAUAGGGUCUCGGAGGGCGUGAUCAAAGGCGGACAUCGCGCCUAUGGUCAUAUAUGGAAACAUUUAUGACGUUGGCUGGCGGCGAGUAACGGUCGUAAGUCGGCGAUUCAGGUAUGAAAAUCGCCUAUUUAGGGCAAACUCGCCGAGUUUCCAGGGGCGAGAUGUGCAGUCUACCAUACUGCCGAUCUGGGCCCUAACUCGGCGAUUUGUCCCUAAAGUCGGCGACUUGGUAGUCCAAUCGUGACUUACGAGCUAACUCGGCGAUUUGGACGAUGAACUUGUUCCGCACCGUGGGAGCUCUCUGGGGGUCCGGCGUAAAGCGACGGAACCCUAGUCCUUGUUGGGAGUGACUGCCGUAAUCAGGCAUGUCUCACCAGGAGAGAAGACGUUACACUUGACACUUGUAUUACAUUAGAGAGAGAAAGAUGUUAAACCUUAAUCCAAUCUUGUAAAUUCAUCUUCGGCCUAUACACUACCAGUAAACUUUAUCACAUAGGAGUUUAUUUGGAUACUCCAAAUGGGUGUAUUUUAAGGGUUAUCCCUAGGGCUGUAAAUGGGUCGGGUCUGAGACUGAUUUACAACCCAUUUACAGCCCUAGGUAUCCCUAAAAUAAAAUAAAUCUAAAAUUUUAUCUUGUCGAUAACCCUAGUAUUCCAAAAUUUCAGCUGUUCUUAGUUUAUCCCGCUGUUCAAUUAAUCCUCUAUCGCGAGUGAGUGAUUCAUCUUCAUAUUGAAAGGAUGGUAUAUUGUUUUGACUUUUUUACAUCACAAUGUAUUGAUUUAUUUCUACGGUCGAUUAAUUUUAGAAAUCUGGUUUGUUUCAUUCUAUAAUUUUAAUCAUUUCAGUAUAAUGAUAUGGUCAAUGGGUUUGAGUUCGCACCCACCUCCAUGUGGACAGGGGCUUAUCCGGGGGGCAACCCUAAAAGUUGGAAAAAAUUGAGGAUUUAUAUGUAAUAAUUUUUUUAUAUAGGAUUAAAUAUAAUUUUUACAAUAUAUUAAUAUUUUUCAAGGAUUAAUAUAUAAAUUUCACAAUACUCUCUCCCCUUUCUCCUCUCACGUUUCACAAAUCCUAAUCUUCUCCGGGAAUCUCUCCCCCUACUCUUCUCCCCCAAAACUCUAAUCUUCUCCGGCCUCCGGGAAUCUCUUCUUAGAUUCUUCACUGUUGUUUCUGCCUUGCUGGAAAUCUCUUCUCCAGUUAUCUCUCCGUUGCUACUUGCUGGAAUCUCUCAUUUCUCUGGUAUUUAUUUUUUGAUCUUGUUUGUUGUUUCUACGUAUUAUUUGGGUCUGAUGGAUAUGAUACGAUGGUGAUGGUCUGAUGGAUUUUAUUGAUGUUUGAUUUAGUUAGUUGAUUAGUCGUCAUACGAAGUUAGGUUCUCCGGUCUGCAUAUGAAGUUAGAACUCACAUGUUAAUGUUCUGUUUUUGAAAAAGAAAAGCACAUUAAGAGUUUUCUUUUCAUCUUCGCACAUAUAUUCAAGUUUGGGAAUGUUGAAAAUUGACAGCGGUAUUGUUCCUGAUAGAUUGUUGAAACUCAAAUUCCUAAAAAAUUCCAAGGAUGUGAAUUUAAUGAUUUUAUAUUGAUGAAUUGUGCUGUUAAACAAAUGGAGAGUAUAAAAAAAAUAAAACUUAAAGAUAUGCCAAAUUUUCAAAUUCCCCAAUGCUGGAUCCUGGAUGGAAUCGGACCAGCUAUUCUAGCGUUUCUUAAAAUCCUAUUAUCAUUCAAACACAGCUAAAAUAUAAGUAUUAUGUAAAUAAAAAAAAUAUAAAUAGAUAGAUCAUAUAUAGAUGAAUCUUUCUUAAUGGUUUAGACUUUAGGGUUAAUGUAUUGGAUAUUCCUAAAUCAAUUUGAAUAUUAAUUAAUGUAUUGAAUAUUAAUUAUGGAAUGAAUGUAUUGAAUUUUUAUAGAUUUUUAUAAUCUAUUUCAAGCUUUUUCAUGCGACCAUGUGCUGGAGUGGGUUACGCGGAUCCGGGUCGGAUCCGUCUAACCCAAAAACCCAUUUACCCUAACCUUAAAAUAAUAAAAGUCUAUCUAUCUAUUGGGAAAAUCCAUCCUGCAGUAACCCUCGCCCUCCGCCCCCUUCUCGUUCUUCUUUCCCGUUCUUCUUUCUCGUUCUUCUAUAAUAUGAUAUUUUAUUAAUAGUUACUAUAAUAUGAUAUUUUAUUAAUAGUUACUAUAAUGUAAUAUUUUAUUAAUAGGUACUAUAAUGUAAUAUUUUAUUAAUAGGUACUAUAAUGUAAUAUUUUAUUAAUAGGUACUAUAAUGGAAUGUUUUAUUAAUAGGUACUAUAAUGUAAUAUUCUAUUAAUAGUUUUAUUAAACUAGAUGUAUAUAUUUUUUAAUACAUGAUUAUUAAUAGUAUUUUGUUUAGGUACCCAUAUUUUCAGGCGACCGCCUAGGCGGCCAUGCGGUCAUGGCCAUCGCAUGAACGCCUGAAAAAGCUUGAUCUAUUUUAUGAAUAGGUAGUGCCAAAAUUUUUAUAGGUUUUUAAAUUAGUACAAAAAAAAUUUCCCGCCUUCGGCAAUUCUUACCCCCCUGUCGGGCAAUCCUGGACACGCCACUAUAUGUGGAUCCGCCAAUGUUCUCAUUUCUUCACUACCUUAUUGAUUUUGUUUAUUAAUUUCAUAUUUCCCCUCCUUUCUAUCUAUCCUUCUACAGACCUCUUUCAGAAUUUGUUCUUCUUGCACAAUCUGUAACUACUAACUACGAACUGUGAGAUCUGGGAUUUGACAUCCAAAAAUUCCCAUUUUAAUUUCUUAGGUUUUUUCCUAUCCAAAUUAUCUGUCAACUGUCAGAUGAUUUUAUGCAAACACUUUCUAAUAUUUGCUUGUCGACAUCCUAUUUUGGGUUUGUAGCUUGAUUAAAUUUUCAUUUUUUAUCGUGUAAUCUAUAAUGUAUUACUCUCGGUAAUCAAGCUUAUCGACUUCAGCUCUGAUUUUUUGUUUCAUGUCUGCAGUUAUUUUAAGACCAAGCCACUGUCUUCAAUAACACGCUAAAAAAGCAUGGCCUCCCGUUUCUGGACUCAGGUAAUCACUGCUUGUGUUUUUUCCCCAAAGAAAAUACUAAAAUAGUGCUCCCUUCUUGGUACCCUUUAUUUUGAAGACUUAUUUAUUUCUCUUGUGAUGAAUUACCAGGGUGGUAGUGACACCGAUGAAGACGAAAGUGAGUAUGAAAUUGAUUCAGAGGAUGAGGUCGAGCCAAGUUCUGGUGCAAAACCAGCAAACCGUUAUCUGGAGGAAAAUGCCAGUGAUAGCGAUGACUCUGAUGGCCACAAACGUGUGGUGCGCUCUGCCAGAGACAAGCGCUUUGAUGAAAUGUUAGCUACUGUAGAUCAGAUACGGAAUGCCAUGAAGAUCAAUGAUUGGGUAAGCCUGCAAGAGAGCUUCGACAAAAUUAACAAACAGCUAGAGAAGGUCAUUCGGGUGAUGAAAACCGACACGGUCCCCAAUCUUUACCUCAAGGCUCUAAUCAUAUUAGAAGAUUUUCUUGUCGAGUCCCUGGCAAAUAAGGAUGCCAAGAAGAAGAUGAGCAGUAGCAAUGCCAAGGCAUUGAACUCAAUGAAGCAGAAACUAAAGAAGAAUAACAAGCAGUAUGAGGAGGCGAUUACAAACUACAGACAGAAACCCGAAACUGAGAGUGAAUCGGAGAGUGAUGCUAACGACUCUGAAUCAGUUUCAGAAUUUGAGGAAGAUCCAACAGCAGCUGCACCCUCCGAUGAGGACAACGUCGAUGACCAGGAUCAAAAUGAUAAGGGUUGGGAGCGACAGAUGAACAAAAAAGACAAACUUAUGGACAAGCAGUUCAUGAAGGACCCAAGUGAGAUCACAUGGGAAAUAGUUGACAAGAAGUUUAAAGAGAUUGUGGCUGCAAGAGGUAAAAAGGGAACCAGCAGAGCUGAGCAAGUUGAGCAGCUUACAUUUUUGACUCGAGUUGCAAAAACGCCUGCUCAGAAGCUUGAAAUCUUGUUCAGUGUGAUAUCUUCCCAGUUUGAUAUCAAUCUGAGUAUUAGUGGUCACAUGCCUAUAAAUAUUUGGAAAAAGUGCUUAGACAAUUUCCUAGGUGCGUUAGACAUCCUUGAGCAGAAUCCAAACAUAGUGGUUGAUCAAUCUGCCGAGCCUGAAGAUAAGGAAUCACAUAAAGAUUCAGAUUAUGAAGGAACCAUCCAUAUCUCAGGGAGCUUAGUAGCUUUGCUUGACCGGCUAGAUACUGAAUUUUACAAGAGCUUGCAAUGCAUUGAUCCCCAUACCAAGGAGUAUGUUGAUAGACUUAGAGAUGAGCCUAUGUUUUCUCUUCUUGCCCAAAAUGUUCAAAGAUAUUUGGAAAAAAUGGGUGAUCUUAAAGGAGCUUCCAAAGUGGCUUUGAGACAGGUUGAGCUUAUAUAUUAUAAGCCUCAGGAAGUUUAUGACUCGAUGAGAAAGCUAGCAGAACAUGAAGCUCUUGACAGAGAACUUGGUGGAGAUGAGAAUCAAAAUGCCGAAGAAAUCAAAGGACCUUCUGCAUUUAUUGUUAUCCCAAAAGUUGUUCCACGGAGUCCUACGUUCCCAGAAAGUAGCCGAGCAUUGAUGGAUAGAUUGGUUUCCCUUAUAUACAAGAGUGGUGAUGAAAGGACAAAGGCUCGAACAAUGCNNNNNNNNNNNNNNNNNNNNNNNNNNNNNNNNNNNNNNNNNNNNNNNNNNNNNNNNNNNNNNNNNNNNNNNNNNNNNNNNNNNNNNNNNNNNNNNNNNNNAUCUUUUACUGAUGAGUCAUCUCCAGGAAGGAGUCCAACAUAUGGACAUAUUGACACAAAUGCUGUUCAAUAGGGUGAUGGCUCAACUUGGUCUCUGUGCUUUUAGAGCUGGCCUUACUAAAGAAGCUCACGGAUGCCUUUCUGAACUCUAUUCAGGUGGAUACAAUUUGCAGCACACCUAGCGGGGAAUAAGCUAGAUCACUACCUCACUGGGAAGGUUGUGCUGAACACUGCAGUAACGAUAAGGCAAGACAAAUUGAUUUUAGUCUGGAUUAUAUCGUCACUGACCGCACCAAUUCUAUCGGUGGUAGCAAAUUGUGCAACUGCAUAAGAGGCUUGGAAGAGGUUACAGAUGGAGUUUGCAUCCAGCUCAAGGUCAAGAGUCCUUAGCAUACGCCAAAAGCUCCAAAGUUUGAAAAUUGGAGGGAGAUCCAUAACAUAAUAUUUGCAGGAAAUCGAUGGACUGUUAGAAACAUUAUCUGUGGCAGGGGAGGUAAUUACAGAUGCUGAUGUUAUUUUACUAGUUUUGGCAGGGCUUGGAGAUGAAUUUGAGGCCACAAUUCAGAAUGUGACCACAAGGAGAGUGGAGAUCUCGUAUAGAGAGUUAAAAGCAAUCCUAACUGAUGUUGAAAUCAGGAGAGGAAGAACUAAUACAACUUCUGCCCUUAGCGCGAACAUUGUUGAAGCUGAAAACCCUAAGAAGACAGGUAAGAGUUUUUACAAAACAGUACUUUGUCAAAUCUGUUCAGGAAAAGGGCAUGGAGCAUUCAAUUGCUACAACAAAUUGAAUAUCACUAAGUUUUCUCCAACACAUGGGAGAAAACUCGAUUCAGAUGGUCUGGCCAACAAGAUGUCAGCCAAUAUUGUGCAGAAAUCAACAUCAGUUUGGUACCCUGAGGCAGGUAUGAUUGAGGAAAUGUCUGUGAAUGUUAUGUAUGAGAACUGUGAAAAUGCAGGGCAAGAGAACACUGAGAAUUCAGUGAAUAUGGUGUCAAAUGCAAGGGCUUGGUUUGCUGAUUCUGGCUCAACAAACCACAUUACAGACAGAAAGGCAGAUAUUCAAGAUGGGUUGGAUUGUGAGAAUUCCAUCAACACUGCCGAUGGACAUCCUAUGAGGAUUGUUCACUCUGGUAAUUCUUUUAUUUCUAUCAAUAAAAGAAAGUUUUUUAUGAACCAGAUUUUAUGUGUACCUUUGCAUCAAAGAAUCUGAUUUCAGUAAAGAGAUUGUGUGCUGACAAUCAAGUGACUAUGGAAUUUGAUCCACAGAGGCUGUUAGUCAAGGAUAUCAACACUGAAGAAGUUCUGAUGAUUGGGAAGGAAAGUGGAGGACUAUAUCAAUUACCUAUACCUAUAGGAGGUUCAGGGAUGCAAAUUAAUCAAAUGGAGUUGGGGAUGAAAGCCACUGCUAGAGUGUGGCACUUGAGAUUGGGGCACCUACUCUCGAGGGCUAUGAAGCAACUCAACAAUCAGAAUUUAAUUAGAGUUUCAGAUACAAAUGAUAUCAAAAAUUUAUGUAAGGAAUGUUGUAUGGCAAAAACUAAGAGACUGAAACAUAAUAAAAGUACCUCAGUUUAUACUACUCCACUUGAACUUAUUUUUGCUGAUGUGUGGGGUCCUGCCCCGACUGAAUCCACAGAAGGAUAUAGGUAUUAUAUAAAUUUUGUGGAUAUUUCAACUAGCUACAAUUGGAUUUUCUUGAUGAGAAGAAAAUCUGAAGUUGAAGAAUGUUUUUUACAAUUCAAAUGCAUGAUUGAAAAACAGUAUGACAGGAAUAUAAAAGCUCUCCAAACUGAUAAUGCUAAAGAGUUUUUAAAACUGUCAAAAUUGUUAGGGAGUAAUGGAAUAAUACAUCGUCUUAGCUGUCCACACACUCACCCUCAGAUGACGAAGGUAGAGCACAGACACAAACAUAUAGUAGACACGGGGCUGGCUAUGUUGAAGCGUGCAGGGUUGGAAACACACUUCUGGGACUAUGCAUUCAUGGCAUAUGUCUAUCUUUAUAACAGAAACCCCACUGAAAUAUUAAAAGGUAUAUCACCUUAUCAAGCUUUACACCUCAAGUCCCUAGAUUAUUAUAAGUUGAAAAUAUUCGGAGCAGUGUGUUAUCCCAAUCUCAGACCAUAUAGGGAAAACAAAUUGAGUGACAAAUCAGCACCCUAUGUUUUUCUAGGAUAUCCAGUCAAUUGUGGUGGGUAUAUAUGCAUGGAUAUGAGGAAUGGGAAGACAUUGAUUUCCAGAGAUGUAAUCUUUGAAGAAAAUAAAUUUCAGUCAAAGAAAACAAUUAUUUCUCAGUCUCCAACGCAAUCAGUUCAGACAGAGGAGAGUGAGUCAGAUGAGGGUGAAGAAGAGUAUGAACAGAACAGAAUAAACGACAAUUCAGAACAGGAAGUGGCAGAUAUUUCAGAACAUGCAGUGGCUUCUGAAUCUACUACACAGUCUGGACUUCCUAUCACUUCUACUACAGAUGAGUUACCACUUACCACUAAUUCAGUACUGUAGAAGAGCACCUGUUGCAGUGGAAAAUAAUAUGGAUGAAAGAUCUGAUGACUCUGGAUCGAGCUCUGAAGAAGAGUAUAAUCCAAAGAUAGCAGAAAAUCCAGUGACAAAACACAUACCUAUCACUAGAGCAUCUAGGAGAAUAGUCAAGAAAAUUCAGAGAUAUGCUUGCAAUAUAUCUCCCACACCAAAACAAACCCCAGUGAAAUAUGCCUUGCAAGACCCUGAAUGGAAGACAGCAAUGCAGGAGGAAUACAAUGCUCUUGUGAGGAAUGGGAGUUGGGAACUCAUCCCAAGGAAUCCAGUGGAUAAUAUAAUCAACAGUAGAUGGCUGUUCAAAGUGAAAGAAAGGUCAGAUGGGACAGUAGAGAGGUUGAAAGCAAGAUUGGUGGCCAAUGGCACCAAUCAAGUAGAAGGACUGGAUUAUAAUGAGACAUUCAGCCCUGUUGUCAAGCACAAAACAAUCAGAAUAGUGCUUACAUUGGCUAUUUGGCUGUAUCUAAAAGUUGGUCACUUCAACAGGUGGAUAUAAGCAAUGCAUUUUUGCAUGGACAGUUAGAUGAAAGGAUUGUCAUGAGGCAGCCCAUGGGAUUUCUUGAUGAAGAAAGACCCACACAUGUGUGUCUACUGAAGAAGGCUCAGUAUGGAUUAAAACAGGCCUCAAGGAUGUGGUUUCGUAGAUUGAAACAAUUUUUGUAUCUAAAAGGCUUUGUGGCAAGCAGUAUCUGAUGAGUCACUGUUUAUAAAAUUUGGAGAGGAAGUCAUCUACAUACUUGUAUUUGUAGAUGACAUGGUCAUUACAGGCUCAAGUACUAAAGGCAUAGAAGUAUUUUUGAAUGAAUUAAAAUCUGAAUUUGCUGUGAGAUUGUGUGGAAACUUGGAGUACUUUUUGGGUAUCAGAGUUAGGAAGCACUUUAAUGGUUUAUUCUUGGACCAACAGUUAUACUUGGUGAAUUUCCUUAAUAAGCAUGGGUACGAAAACCUAAAACCCAUUGCUACACCUAUGCAACCUAAUACUGAUUUUUACUCAGAGGCAGAACAAAUUCAGAACUCUACUGAAUAUAGGCAGUUGGUGGGUUCACUGCAGUAUCUUACUACCACAAGGGCGGAUAUUUCUUAUGCAGUGAACAAGUUAGCUCAGUUCAUGGAGAAACCCAAAGAAAUACAUUGGCAGAUGUUAAAAAGAAUUCUGAGAUACCUAUCUGGUACACACAGCAUGGGGAUUGUGCUCAGAAAAACUUGUUCCAAUGAGAUUACAGCAUAUAGUGAUGCAGAUUGGGCAUCUGAUUCAACUGACAGAAAAAGCCAGAUUGGGCACCUCUUAUAUAUGGGUGAAUCACUAAUAGUUUGGUGUUCUCAAAAACAAUCUGCGGUGUCUAGGUCCAGCACUGAGUCAGAAUUCAGGGCAAUCACAGCUGCCACUGCAGAAGUUGAAUGGGUAUCUAAUUUGCUGAUAGAGAUGGGAGUAAAAGUAGAUACACCACAUAAACUGUGGUGUGACAACUUGGGAGCAACUCAACUGGCUGCAAACCCUGUGUUCCACACUAAAAUCAAGCAUGCUGCAAUUGAUUUCAAUUUUGUACAGGAGAGGAUGGAGAAGAAGGUUAUUCAAGUAAUUCACAUUCCAAAUACCAUGCAACGAGCUGAUACACUAACUAAGGCAUUAAAGCCGGCAUCAUUCAUGGAGCUAAGAGCCAACCUCAUCGGCUACCACAGAUGAGCUUGAGGGGGACUAUUAGUGAUAUUAAAUAAAGCUAUUUGUUUUCAUUUGCUUGUAAUUACAAAUUAGACCUUAUAAUACUAAAUACUAAUUGUAAUUAGUUAGUAUAAAUUAGUUCUUAACUGAAUUCAGUUAAGAUCUAAUAUUGAACUCAAGUGUAUAUAAACACAUCCAAUAUAUGUUUAGAGGGAUCAAUCACUUGAUUCCCACAUUUCCUAUCUUUCCAGUUUCACUCAUAAUUACCCACUGAAAAUCCAUUCUUCAUUAUUUCUCUCAUAGUCUAAUGUUCAUUUUAUUAUAAUUAUUUUCAUUUACUAUUUAUCAAUUGACUGUCUAUGCUAAUUGACUAUGGCCGUUCUUUGUCUAUUUAUUUGGAUGUCUUUUAUUAUAAAAAAAUACAGUGUGAUAAUUAGAUUUUUAUAUGUGAUUGCUGCUGUUAUUGUAAAUACAAUUGCCUUGUUUUCUUGUGUAAUCAUGAUGCAUUCAUUUGCAUAUUGAAUGUUUUCGUAGUGCAUCUUUUUAUGUUGUAAGAUAUGGAUUUAUUUGGGUUUGUUUUGUUUUUUGCAGGAAAAAAUCGAGAGGAUGAGACAAAUGCCCUACCAUAUGCACAUAAAUCUUGAGCUUCUAGAAGCAGUCCAUUUAAUUUGUGCUAUGCUCCUUGAGGUUCCCAACAUGGCUCUAAACUCAAAUGAUGUUAGACAGAAAGUGAUGAAUAAGAAUUUCCGUAGACUCCUUGAUAUUAGUGAACGACAGACUUUUGGAGGACCUCCUGAAAAUGUCAGAGACCAUAUAAUGGCUGCGGCAAAAGCUCUUAGAAAGGGAGAUUUUGAGAAGACCUUUGAUUUCAUCAGCUCCCUUGAUACAUGGAAGCUUUUGAAGAACAAAGAAAGUGUUCUGGCAAUGUUGAAAUCCAAGAUCAAAGAAGAAGCUUUAAGGACAUAUUUAAUUUCCAAUGCGUGUAGCUACGUGUCGUUGAGUUUGGAU
This 39909-nucleotide long non-coding RNA is filed under the name Zostera marina. RNAcentral describes it as "long non-coding RNA (ZMAR_LNC001891)". The record is from RNAcentral. Lineage: Eukaryota; Viridiplantae; Streptophyta; Magnoliopsida; Alismatales; Zosteraceae.